CGGCAGCGGUUCGUUGGCUGGUGUGGCCAUAUAACCUACUUGUAAGCCAAGUUCUUGUCUGCGGGCCUCUGCCUGGCCCUAAAUAUGUGUUCUCGAAUCUUAGUGACCAAGUGAUCGCCAAGGCCGCAUCAGACAAGGGUGGGGGGUCGGUGCCUUUGUCUACAACGGAAGAUGGCGACGGGCAGGGUGUGAGAAGAUGGCCGCCAGGGUCACAUGUUUUGCUGAGUAUACCCACCUGAAAUGACUAGGAGAGUGAACUCCCUGAGACUAGGGGCCAUAUAUCUUCGCGCCCUCAGCAGGACCCAGCACAAGACUGGUACAAGGCACGCUUCAGCAAAUGUUUGUUAAAUGGUUCCCAGGUGGUGGUGGUGAUGAUGAUGAUGAUGAUGAUGAAGAAGAAGAAGAUGAUGAUGAUGAUGAUGAAGCUGCUGCUGCUGCUAGUCCAGGUUUUAAUCCAUUUAGAAUCCAUGCUCAUAUGUGGUGAUAGGUUUUCUGUAUUCUUACUGGGUUUUUGUUGCUGUUGUUGUUCAUUUGAUCUGUCCUGGAAUAAGAAAGUAUUAAACAAGACUUCCAGUUCUAUGUUAAACAGUAGUUGGUGAGAGUGCAAAAAAUCAAAUUCCAGUCUGCCUGCCUCCAAGGCCUACAUGUUUGACCACCAUGCCACACUGCUCCAGUGAAGACUCACUCACAGACUGAUGGAAGACUGCUGAACCAAGAAAAAUGAUCUUAUCUCAUGCUUCAGUGACAAAAUAAAAGCCAUCAGACAUGGGAGAAUUGUUCCAGGACCUUCAUCUUCCCACCACUGAAUCCCUAAACCUCCCAGUAUCUGUGUUGAUCUUUUGUUUCAUUCCUUCCUGUUACAAUGAAGGGCCUGAGGACCUCUCCUUCUCUCUGAGGCCCAGUGCCCCAGACCCCAGCCCCUCCUUUCCCUUCCAUUAUUCCCUUUCUCUUCUGUGUUCCCGUCCAGUCCCUCUCUAUGGUCUCUGGGUCUUUCCCAGCAGCAAACAAGCAAAGUCUAGUAUCUCCAAUCUUAGAAAAAUCAUUCUUUGCCCCACCUCCUACCAUCACCUUAGCUCUCUGGGCUCUGUUCCCAUUCACAGCCAUGUUUCACAAGGAAAUUGCCUACACACCUAGCUCCACUUUAGCAGGAUAGGGGGCAGUGUUUUAUUCCCUCUGACCUCAGGGAGGGUCCUGUAACAAUCUACCCUCCCACCAGCACUCUAUCCAAUUAUUCCUGCUUUUCAAAUUUUAUUUUUCAUGAUAAUACAUUAUAAAUUUUAUAAUAUACAUAUCUGUACAGUUUGAAUAAAUUAUAAAACAAAUACCUAUGUACCUGUACCCAUCACCCAGCUUCAAAAACAAAUCAUUUCUGAAUGACAAAACCUGCCAUGUAGCCCUCCCCAGUCACAUCUCCUUCCCCUCCCUGAGGUAACCAGUGUCAUUUUUCAUGCCUUGCUUUUUUGUAUGGUUUUACAACGUAUUACUGCAUCCAUAUAUUGUAUAAUUUUGAAUGUUCAACUUUAUAUAAACAUAUUCUUUCAUGA
Molecule: long non-coding RNA, 1544 nt
Organism: Eubalaena glacialis (North Atlantic right whale)
Lineage: Eukaryota; Metazoa; Chordata; Mammalia; Artiodactyla; Balaenidae
Exons: 8
Source: RefSeq, a predicted model, not a curated record